RNAcentral lists this ribosomal RNA (1352 nucleotides) under uncultured bacterium. RNAcentral's name for it is "bacterial SSU rRNA". It matches the Rfam family "Bacterial small subunit ribosomal RNA", at positions 28 to 1381 of the family's 1533-position model. The record is from RNAcentral.
AUUGAACGCUGGCGGCAUGCCUUACACAUGCAAGUCGAACGGUAACGGGUCCUUCGGGAUGCCGACGAGUGGCGAACGGGUGAGUAAUAUAUCGGAACGUGCCCAGUAGUGGGGGAUAACUGCUCGAAAGAGCAGCUAAUACCGCAUACGACCUGAGGGUGAAAGGGGGGGAUCGCAAGACCUCUCGCUAUUGGAGCGGCCGAUAUCAGAUUAGCUAGUUGGUGGGGUAAAGGCCUACCAAGGCAACGAUCUGUAGUUGGUCUGAGAGGACGACCAGCCACACUGGGACUGAGACACGGCCCAGACUCCUACGGGAGGCAGCAGUGGGGAAUUUUGGACAAUGGGCGCAAGCCUGAUCCAGCAAUGCCGCGUGCAGGAAGAAGGCCUUCGGGUUGUAAACUGCUUUUGUCAGGGAAGAAAUCUUCUGGGCUAAUACCCCGGGAGGAUGACGGUACCUGAAGAAUAAGCACCGGCUAACUACGUGCCAGCAGCCGCGGUAAUACGUAGGGUGCGAGCGUUAAUCGGAAUUACUGGGCGUAAAGCGUGCGCAGGCGGCUUUGCAAGACAGAUGUGAAAUCCCCGGGCUCAACCUGGGAACUGCAUUUGUGACUGCAAGGCUAGAGUACGGCAGGGGGGGAUGGAAUUCCGCGUGUAGCAGUGAAAUGCGUAGAUAUGCGGAGGAACACCAAUGGCGAAGGCAAUCCCCUGGGCCUGUACUGACGCUCAUGCACGAAAGCGUGGGGAGCAAACAGGAUUAGAUACCCUGGUAGUCCACGCCCUAAACGAUGUCAACUGGUUGUUGGACGGCUUGCUGUUCAGUAACGAAGCUAACGCGUGAAGUUGACCGCCUGGGGAGUACGGCCGCAAGGUUGAAACUCAGAGGAAUUGACGGGGACCCGCACAAGCGGUGGAUGAUGUGGUUUAAUUCGAUGCAACGCGAAAAACCUUACCUACCCUUGACAUGUCAAGAAUUCUGCAGAGAUGUGGAAGUGCUCGAAAGAGAACUUGAACACAGGUGCUGCAUGGCCGUCGUCAGCUCGUGUCGUGAGAUGUUGGGUUAAGUCCCGCAACGAGCGCAACCCUUGUCAUUAGUUGCUACGCAAGAGCACUCUAAUGAGACUGCCGGUGACAAACCGGAGGAAGGUGGGGAUGACGUCAGGUCCUCAUGGCCCUUAUGGGUAGGGCUACACACGUCAUACAAUGGCCGGUACAGAGGGCUGCCAACCCGCGAGGGGGAGCCAAUCCCAGAAAACCGGUCGUAGUCCGGAUCGUAGUCUGCAACUCGACUGCGUGAAGUCGGAAUCGCUAGUAAUCGUGGAUCAGCUUGCCGCGGUGAAUACGUUCCCGGGUCU